This 254-nucleotide ribosomal RNA is filed under the name uncultured bacterium. Its description in RNAcentral is "partial 16S ribosomal RNA". It matches the Rfam family "Bacterial small subunit ribosomal RNA", at positions 39 to 305 of the family's 1533-position model. The record is from RNAcentral.
GCGGUAUGCCUAACACAUGCAAGUCGUACGAGAGUUUUUAACUCAAGUGGCGGACGGGUGAGUAACGCGUAUACAAUCUACCUUUUGCUGAGGGAUAGCCCAGAGAAAUUUGGAUUAAUACCUCAUGGUAUUAUUGAUAGGCAUCUAUUAAUAAUUAAAGGUUACGGCAAAAGAUGAGUAUGCGUCCCAUUAGCUAGUUGGUGAAGUAACGGUUCACCAAGGCAACGAUGGGUAGGGGUCCUGAGAGGAUGAUC